CCUAAACAAAACUAUCCGCCAGAGAACUACUAGCAACAGCUUAAAACUCAAAGGACUUGGCGGUGCUUUACAUCCCUCUAGAGGAGCCUGUUCUAUAAUCGAUAAACCCCGAUAUACCUCACCAUCUCUUGCUAAUUCAGCCUAUAUACCGCCAUCUUCAGCAAACCCUAAAAAGGAAGAAAAGUAAGCACAAGUAUCUUAACACAAAAAAGUUAGGUCAAGGUGUAGCUCAUGAGAUGGGAAGUAAUGGGCUACAUUUUCUAAAAUUAGAACACCCACGAAAAUCCUUAUGAAACUAAGUAUUAAAGGAGGAUUUAGUAGUAAAUUUGAGAAUAGAGAGCUCAAUUGAAUCGGGCCAUGAAGCACGCACACACCGCCCGUC
RNAcentral lists this ribosomal RNA (382 nucleotides) under Felis chaus (jungle cat). RNAcentral's name for it is "partial small subunit ribosomal RNA". It matches the Rfam family "Bacterial small subunit ribosomal RNA", at positions 854 to 1398 of the family's 1533-position model. The record is from RNAcentral. Lineage: Eukaryota; Metazoa; Chordata; Mammalia; Carnivora; Felidae.